UCAUAACCUAUAAAUGUAAUAAUACAACGAUACGAGAAAGCGAGAGUACAAGAUUGAAAAUUGUGAAGCUCUAUCUCUAUAGAUUUAAUCUCAAUAGAUCAUAUUUUGGAAGUUAAUGAAUUCACGUGCAAACAUUGUAACAACGCAAUUGCUUCAUUGGAUCAUUUUGCUAACAUUACUGCUUAUUGAAGUAUCACUAUCACUACUUAUCUCAGCAAUUUCAGUCAAAGUAAAUAUAACCUUACGAUUUAUCAU
This is a non-coding RNA of Linepithema humile (Argentine ant), 255 nucleotides long. The record is from RefSeq and is a predicted model, not a curated record. NCBI's taxonomy places the organism in Eukaryota, Metazoa, Arthropoda, Insecta, Hymenoptera, Formicidae.